Long non-coding RNA from Helianthus annuus (common sunflower), 1006 nucleotides. RefSeq lists it as uncharacterized. The record is from RefSeq and is a predicted model, not a curated record. The transcript has 7 exons. Lineage: Eukaryota; Viridiplantae; Streptophyta; Magnoliopsida; Asterales; Asteraceae.
AGGGCCCUUUUUCAUUUUCGUUUUCUCUCUCCCUCAAAGAUCUGGAUCUGCUCUUCCUUCCUUCUCUCUCUCUCUUUCAAAUUCUCCCUGGAUCUGCAGGUUCUUCCCUUCUCUGGUUCCAGAGAUGUCGAUGGUGGUGUCACUGAAGAGGUUCGCAAACAACUUUGGUGGAACCCUUGAAGAUCGACGAUGACGGCGGCGGUUAGGGUUCUGGUCGUGAAAUUGAAUUUCAUCUUUGAUGUUCAUCAUUAGAUUUGCUCUUUGCUUUGGAGAUACUAUUCAACGAGAUAGUAAGCCUUCAAUUUCAUAUUCCUUUGUCAAUUUCAUGAUUUAUUUCAUUUAAUGAAGAUGGAUCUUCGUUUUUUGUUGGUCAUGGUUUAAAGAACAUGUAAUGGUUUGAGAAGAGUUCAAGAUCAAGCUAUUGUUUUGUAGUAUGAAGGUGUGCAUCUUCCACAGAGGUACAUCCUUCAGUUUGUGUCAGCAAACCCAUGAGAUGGUGGGAAAAUACACAUGCUUGAGAUCAAUUAAGCACAAGAUUACGUAGACACAUUAUGAAAUUCAUGGGAUAAAAUCCCAUCUUUUUUUCUAUUCACCUGGUUGUGGUAGUUGUAAAAUCUGUCAACUGGCUAAGUCAAGCUCUAAAGCAAUUUUCCUCCAAGUGAACUAUGAAGAACUCAAACCCAUGUGUCAAUCUCUCCAUAUUCAUGUUCUGUCUUUUCUCAGAUUCCACAAAGGUCAUGAGGCCAAGAUCUAUAUGCGAUAAGAGUCAUGUGAUUUUUUAUUAUGCCAAACACCCUCUAGCAAAGUGAACUAGAGACUCAUAAAGGUUUUGGCUACAAAUAUGUCUGCUCUUGGUCUAUCUCAGAAACCCAUUUAUGUUCAAGCCGUGAGUGAGAUGAGAGACAGAAGUGGCAAUGAAGGCUUAGACUAGGGGUGAGCAUAAGGCCGAGUCUCUGCUGUGUAAGCAGGCCAUAAUCACUUGCGUAAAUAUGACAACACUAUUGAG